RNAcentral lists this long non-coding RNA (256 nucleotides) under Mytilus galloprovincialis (Mediterranean mussel). The record is from RNAcentral. Lineage: Eukaryota; Metazoa; Mollusca; Bivalvia; Mytilida; Mytilidae.
GUCAUUUAAUUGGGAUAAUACUUAAAAUAACUUCGUUUGGAUUAUUGUAAUAAUUUUCAUCCCAUGUGAGAUCAAAAUAGUGACAGGAAUUGAAUUGUAUGAGGUUAAGUAAGCUUUUAUAGUUAAAGUCAGGGAAAUCGCCAAGCAAUUCAAAUUUGGAACAGGAAGUUCAUUUCGGAAAUAUAACAAAGUGAAUUUGUACAGAUGAUAUCCGUACUUUAAGAACCGUUCAAAUAUUUCUAUGGUAUGAACACGC